Molecule: long non-coding RNA, 365 nt
Organism: Myxocyprinus asiaticus (Chinese sucker)
Lineage: Eukaryota; Metazoa; Chordata; Actinopteri; Cypriniformes; Catostomidae
Exons: 3
Source: RefSeq, a predicted model, not a curated record
ACGGACCGACGCUCGCAACAUGAUGAUGGAUCUCUGACUGUCAACAGAGGACCUUCUCCUCAAGUUAAAGGAACCUGGAAGUCACUGAAGAAUCACAUAAAUUCAGAGCAUACUUGGCACCAAUCUCUUGGAGUGUGUACCUCUGAUUCUCGAGGAGGAGAGGAGUAAGGAGAAAUCUGGGCACAGUCAUACAGUCUGAAGAAACUGCAAAGAGCCUGUCACAGGUCUGAGUCAGGGGAGUUUGCUGUCAUUGAUGAGGAUGCACCUUUGAAGGACAUGUAAAUAUUUUCCAUGUACUGUAUGGCAAAAUGCAACCAGAUACCUUGGUUGUUAAAGACCGGAUGCAGCAAAGUUUAUCAUGGCGG